Molecule: ribosomal RNA, 442 nt
Filed under: uncultured bacterium
Lineage: Bacteria
Description: partial 16S ribosomal RNA
Rfam family: Bacterial small subunit ribosomal RNA
Source: RNAcentral
CCUACGGGAGGCAGCAGUAGGGAAUCUUUCACAAUGGGCGAAAGCCUGAUGGAGCAACGCCGCGUGCAGGAUGAAGGCCUUCGGGUUGUAAACUGCUUUUAUAAGCGAGGAAUAUGAUGGUAACUUAUGAAUAAGGAUCGGCUAACUACGUGCCAGCAGCCGCGGUCAUACGUAGGAUCCGAGCAUUAUCCGGAGUGACUGGGUGUAAAGAGUUGCGUAGGUGGCAUAAUAAGUAGCUAGUGAAAUCUGGUGGCUCAACCAUUCAGACUAUUAGCUAAACUGUUAAGCUCGAGACCGUUAGGGGUAACUGGAAUUUCUAGUGUAGGAGUGAAAUCCGUAGAUAUUAGAAGGAACACCAAUAGCGUAGGCAGGUUGCUGGGACGGUUCUGACACUAAGGCACGAAAGCGUAGGGAGCAAACGGGAUUAGAUACCCCAGUAGUC